This 75-nucleotide transfer RNA is filed under the name TM7 phylum sp. oral taxon 349. Its description in RNAcentral is "tRNA-OTHER". It matches the Rfam family "tRNA". From Rfam's summary of the family: Transfer RNA (tRNA) molecules are approximately 80 nucleotides in length. The record is from RNAcentral. Lineage: Bacteria; Candidatus Saccharimonadota.
GGGGAUGUAGUUUAACGGUAAAAUGGCGAUCUUGUCACUUCGCGGAUCGGGGUUCAACUCCCCGCAUUUCCACCA